This 367-nucleotide ribosomal RNA is filed under the name uncultured bacterium. Its description in RNAcentral is "bacterial SSU rRNA". It matches the Rfam family "Bacterial small subunit ribosomal RNA", at positions 975 to 1344 of the family's 1533-position model. The record is from RNAcentral.
CAAGGCUUGACAUCGCCGGAAAUCCCGCAGAGAUGCGGGGUCCUUUUUGGGCCGGUGAAGGUGGUGCAUGGCUGUCGUCAGCUCGUGUCGUGAGAUGUUGGGUUAAGUCCCGCAACGAGCGCAACCCUCGUUCCAUGUUGCCAGCACGUGAUGGUGGGGACUCAUGGGAGACCGCCGGGGUCAACUCGGAGGAAGGUGGGGAUGACGUCAAGUCAUCAUGCCCCUUAUGUCUUGGGCUGCAAACAUGCUACAAUGGCCGGUACAGUGGGCUGCGAUACCGUGAGGUGGAGCGAAUCCCUUAAAGCCGGUCUCAGUUCGGAUCGAAGUCUGCAACUCGACUUCGUGAAGUCGGAGUCGCUAGUAAUCG